RNAcentral lists this ribosomal RNA (426 nucleotides) under uncultured bacterium. RNAcentral's name for it is "bacterial SSU rRNA". It matches the Rfam family "Bacterial small subunit ribosomal RNA", at positions 505 to 933 of the family's 1533-position model. The record is from RNAcentral.
GUGCCAGCAGCCGCGGUAAUACGAAGGGGGCUAGCGUUGUUCGGAAUUACUGGGCGUAAAGCGCACGUAGGCGGAUAUUUAAGUCAGGGGUGAAAUCCCGCAGCUCAACUGCGGAACUGCCUUUGAUACUGGGUAUCUUGAGUAUGGAAGAGGUAAGUGGAAUUCCGAGUGUAGAGGUGAAAUUCGUAGAUAUUCGGAGGAACACCAGUGGCGAAGGCGGCUUACUGGUCCAUUACUGACGCUGAGGUGCGAAAGCGUGGGGAGCGAACAGGAUUAGAUACCCUGGUAGUCCACGCCGUAAACGAUGGAUACUUGCUGUUGGAUUUUCGGAUUCAGUGGCUAAGCGAAAGUUAUAAGUAUCCCACCUGGGGAGUACGUUCGCAAGAAUGAAACUCAAAGGAAUUGACGGGGGCCCGCACAAGCGGU